Long non-coding RNA from Schistocerca gregaria, 412 nucleotides. RefSeq lists it as uncharacterized. The record is from RefSeq and is a predicted model, not a curated record. The transcript is spliced from 4 exons. NCBI's taxonomy places the organism in Eukaryota, Metazoa, Arthropoda, Insecta, Orthoptera, Acrididae.
GAUAUUAUCCAAAGCUUUAUGAAAUCAACAGGAUGCUACAACAGGGCGAAGGCUCAACAAUACCUUGAUUUAGCAGAGGGUGAACUUGAGACAGCGACAGCGCUAUAUAAAUCAGAAACAGCUCGUUCCCGAGGCGCCUGCAACUACAUCGAGACCUGCAAAUGUCAGCUCAUCAACAGACACAAGAGUUAUGACGAUGGCAGAUUUGAAUAGGGCAUCUAAUCAACAUUUGGAUGAUGCGGAUCGCUCGAACAACUACUAUGCAGGCGGUUCCAGCAAUAGUGGUAUCCAAAUCAGCGGCUAUGACAGAGGAAGCGACGUCAAAAAACUGGUAUUUGACGUAUUCGAAAAUGCAAAAAAGUGAGUACCGUUUUAUGUUUUGUAUUCUCGCAAAAAGUGUACUAAUACACAA